UAGAGAACAUGAAUUACUACUACCACUACUACGUACUCUUACCCAUUCAUGCAUGCUUGUUUAAUAUUCUCUUCCCGAAGACAUAUGACGAGGAUGUUGUAAACAUCAAUUGUAUGAAUAGGGGAAAUUCCACCAAAGCAUAUAUAGUGACUGGGAUACUUGCUAGCAAGAUAAUUGGAAAGGAGACCCAUAGACGAACACCGUAUCGAAGCAUAAAUAAGGUAGCUGCCACAAAAGCUAUCAUCAUCCCCACAAUAGAGACGAAGAGAAAUAAAAGGCCCAACAUCAACAUUCGGGGCAAAGUUGACAAGAAUUCUUCUUCCG
This is a long non-coding RNA of Telopea speciosissima, 324 nucleotides long. RefSeq lists it as uncharacterized. The record is from RefSeq and is a predicted model, not a curated record. NCBI's taxonomy places the organism in Eukaryota, Viridiplantae, Streptophyta, Magnoliopsida, Proteales, Proteaceae. The transcript has 3 exons.